RNAcentral lists this microRNA precursor (103 nucleotides) under Marmota monax (woodchuck). The record is from RNAcentral. Lineage: Eukaryota; Metazoa; Chordata; Mammalia; Rodentia; Sciuridae.
AGUAGGGUAGCUGGGUCAAAUGGUGGUUCCAUUUCAAGUUUUCUGAGAAAUCUCCAUACUGCUUUGCAUUAUGGUUGCACCAAUUUGUAUUCCCACCAGCAAU